Molecule: ribosomal RNA, 253 nt
Filed under: uncultured bacterium
Lineage: Bacteria
Description: partial 16S ribosomal RNA
Rfam family: Bacterial small subunit ribosomal RNA
Source: RNAcentral
GACGAACCGUGCGAACGUUUAUUCGGAAUCACUGGGCUUAAAGCGCGUGUAGGCGGGGCGGCACGUCGGUCGCUGAAAUCCCCCGGCUUAACCGGGGAACGGGCGCCGAUACGACCGCCCUGGAGGGACGUAGGGGGACCUGGAACUUCCGGUGGAGCGGUGAAAUGCGUUGAGAUCGGAAGGAACGCCCGUGGCGAAAGCGAGGUCCUGGACGUUUUCUGACGCUGAGACGCGAAAGCCAGGGGAGCGAACG